RNAcentral lists this ribosomal RNA (2931 nucleotides) under unidentified. RNAcentral's name for it is "Enterobacter sp. DSM 30060 23S ribosomal RNA". It matches the Rfam family "Bacterial large subunit ribosomal RNA". The record is from RNAcentral.
GGGUUGUGAGGUUAAGCGACUAAGCGUACACGGUGGAUGCCCUGGCAGUCAGAGGCGAUGAAGGACGUGCUAAUCUGCGAAAAGCGCCGGCGAGGUGAUAUGAACCUUUGACCCGGCGAUGUCCGAAUGGGGAAACCCAGUGCAAUCCGUUGCACUAUCGUUAACUGAAUACAUAGGUUAACGAGGCGAACCGGGGGAACUGAAACAUCUAAGUACCCCGAGGAAAAGAAAUCAACCGAGAUUCCCCCAGUAGCGGCGAGCGAACGGGGAGCAGCCCGGAGUCUGAAUCAGCUUGUGUGUUAGUGGAACGGUCUGGAAAGUCCGACGGUACAGGGUGAUAGUCCCGUACACGAAAGCACACAUGCUGUGAACUCGAAGAGUAGGGCGGGACACGUGGUAUCCUGUCUGAAUAUGGGGGGACCAUCCUCCAAGGCUAAAUACUCCUGACUGACCGAUAGUGAACCAGUACCGUGAGGGAAAGGCGAAAAGAACCCCGGCGAGGGGAGUGAAAAAGAACCUGAAACCGUGUACGUACAAGCAGUGGGAGCCUCUUUAUGGGGUGACUGCGUACCUUUUGUAUAAUGGGUCAGCGACUUAUAUUCUGUAGCAAGGUUAACCGUAUAGGGGAGCCGAAGGGAAACCGAGUCUUAACUGGGCGUUAAGUUGCAGGGUAUAGACCCGAAACCCGGUGAUCUAGCCAUGGGCAGGUUGAAGGUUGGGUAACACUAACUGGAGGACCGAACCGACUAAUGUUGAAAAAUUAGCGGAUGACCUGUGGCUGGGGGUGAAAGGCCAAUCAAACCGGGAGAUAGCUGGUUCUCCCCGAAAGCUAUUUAGGUAGCGCCUCGUGAACUCAUCUUCGGGGGUAGAGCACUGUUUCGGCUAGGGGGCCAUCCCGGCUUACCAACCCGAUGCAAACUACGAAUACCGAAGAAUGUUAUCACGGGAGACACACGGCGGGUGCUAACGUCCGUCGUGAAGAGGGAAACAACCCAGACCGCCAGCUAAGGUCCCAAAGUCAUGGUUAAGUGGGAAACGAUGUGGGAAGGCACAGACAGCCAGGAUGUUGGCUUAGAAGCAGCCAUCAUUUAAAGAAAGCGUAAUAGCUCACUGGUCGAGUCGGCCUGCGCGGAAGAUGUAACGGGGCUAAACCAUGCACCGAAGCUGCGGCAGCGACACUAUGUGUUGUUGGGUAGGGGAGCGUUCUGUAAGCCGUUGAAGGUGUCCUGUGAGGGGUGCUGGAGGUAUCAGAAGUGCGAAUGCUGACAUAAGUAACGAUAAAGCGGGUGAAAAGCCCGCUCGCCGGAAGACCAAGGGUUCCUGUCCAACGUUAAUCGGGGCAGGGUGAGUCGACCCCUAAGGCGAGGCCGAAAGGCGUAGUCGAUGGGAAACAGGUUAAUAUUCCUGUACUUGGUGUUACUGCGAAGGGGGGACGGAGAAGGCUAUGUCAGCCGGGCGACGGUUGUCCCGGUUUAAGCAUGUAGGCGGAGGUUCCAGGUAAAUCCGGUACCUUAUUAACGCUGAGGUGUGAUGACGAGGCACUACGGUGCUGAAGUGAUAAAUGCCCUGCUUCCAGGAAAAGCCUCUAAGCAUCAGGUAACACGAAAUCGUACCCCAAACCGACACAGGUGGUCAGGUAGAGAAUACCAAGGCGCUUGAGAGAACUCGGGUGAAGGAACUAGGCAAAAUGGUGCCGUAACUUCGGGAGAAGGCACGCUGAUGUGUAGGUGAAGUCCCUGCGGACGGAGCUGAAAUCAGUCGAAGAUACCAGCUGGCUGCAACUGUUUAUUAAAAACACAGCACUGUGCAAACACGAAAGUGGACGUAUACGGUGUGACGCCUGCCCGGUGCCGGAAGGUUAAUUGAUGGGGUUAGCGGCAACGCGAAGCUCUUGAUCGAAGCCCCGGUAAACGGCGGCCGUAACUAUAACGGUCCUAAGGUAGCGAAAUUCCUUGUCGGGUAAGUUCCGACCUGCACGAAUGGCGUAAUGAUGGCCAGGCUGUCUCCACCCGAGACUCAGUGAAAUUGAACUCGCUGUGAAGAUGCAGUGUACCCGCGGCAAGACGGAAAGACCCCGUGAACCUUUACUAUAGCUUGACACUGAACACUGGUCCUUGAUGUGUAGGAUAGGUGGGAGGCUUUGAAGCGUGGACGCCAGUCUGCGUGGAGCCAACCUUGAAAUACCACCCUUUAAUGGCUGGUGUUCUAACGUAGACCCGUAAUCCGGGUUGCGGACAGUGUCUGGUGGGUAGUUUGACUGGGGCGGUCUCCUCCCAAAGAGUAACGGAGGAGCACGAAGGUUGGCUAAUCCUGGUCGGACAUCAGGAGGUUAGUGCAAUGGCAUAAGCCAGCUUGACUGCGAGCGUGACGGCGCGAGCAGGUGCGAAAGCAGGUCAUAGUGAUCCGGUGGUUCUGAAUGGAAGGGCCAUCGCUCAACGGAUAAAAGGUACUCCGGGGAUAACAGGCUGAUACCGCCCAAGAGUUCAUAUCGACGGCGGUGUUUGGCACCUCGAUGUCGGCUCAUCACAUCCUGGGGCUGAAGUAGGUCCCAAGGGUAUGGCUGUUCGCCAUUUAAAGUGGUACGCGAGCUGGGUUUAGAACGUCGUGAGACAGUUCGGUCCCUAUCUGCCGUGGGCGCUGGAGAAUUGAGGGGGGCUGCUCCUAGUACGAGAGGACCGGAGUGGACGCAUCACUGGUGUUCGGGUUGUCAUGCCAAUGGCACUGCCCGGUAGCUAAAUGCGGAAGAGAUAAGUGCUGAAAGCAUCUAAGCACGAAACUUGCCCCGAGAUGAGUUCUCCCUGAGACUUUAAGUCUCCUGAAGGAACGUUGAAGACGACGACGUUGAUAGGUCGGGUGUGUAAGCGCAGCGAUGCGUUGAGCUAACCGAUACUAAUGAACCGUGAGGCUUAACCUUACAACGCCGAAGCUGUU